RNAcentral lists this transfer RNA (98 nucleotides) under Desulfobacterales bacterium. Its description in RNAcentral is "tRNA-Sec". It matches the Rfam family "Selenocysteine transfer RNA". RNAcentral also lists the same sequence under 1 other name. Lineage: Bacteria; Pseudomonadati; Thermodesulfobacteriota; Desulfobacteria; Desulfobacterales. The record is from RNAcentral.
GGAAGUGGAAAGCUCACUGGUGGGGCUCCCGGACUUCAAAUCCGGUGAAGCGUCCUGAUACGGCGCUUGGUGGGUUCGAUUCCCAUGCACUUCCGCCA